GAGCCAGAAACAUUAGAAUAUCCGUGAGUAAUUUUACAUGGCACAGUUACCGACAAGUGAGCUGGCUUGAUAAAAUUACUAAUCACGACUGUGAGGUCAUUAAAAUACCAGAUGGCGUUACAGCGAGAUAUGUGAAACUUGACCAGUAUGCAAACACUUUCUUUCACCUUUGUGAAGUGAAAGUAUAUGCAAACGUGCCUGAAGGAGAAGAUGAAAAAUGGGAAAAAAUAAUCAAGAAUGCUCUAGAUUUACUUGGCAGUGAGAAUGACAACAGUACACUUUAUGUAAACAAUGGAUAAACGUAAACUAUAAUGAUCGGACUUGGCAGUGAGAAUGACAACAGUACACUUUAUGUAAACAGUUCCUCUUUCAAUAAAUUCUUGCUUACUAUUUAGUCUGUAGUAAUACUGUUUAAAAUA
Long non-coding RNA from Mercenaria mercenaria, 419 nucleotides. RefSeq lists it as uncharacterized. The transcript has 2 exons. Lineage: Eukaryota; Metazoa; Mollusca; Bivalvia; Venerida; Veneridae. The record is from RefSeq and is a predicted model, not a curated record.